This is a long non-coding RNA of Aedes albopictus (Asian tiger mosquito), 1361 nucleotides long. RefSeq lists it as uncharacterized. The transcript is spliced from 2 exons. The record is from RefSeq and is a predicted model, not a curated record. Lineage: Eukaryota; Metazoa; Arthropoda; Insecta; Diptera; Culicidae.
ACUCUGGCUUCUCAGUUGCGUCUUAUCCUAUGCUCGCUCGGCGAAGUACGCAUACAAGCCAAUGCCAUCCUCGGACUCGUUUGGGGGCGGGGUUAUUCUCACAUCACCAAGUGUCUUGCACUAUUUGGGUGUUCCACUCGGAUUCUGCGUGAUCAUUUUCCUAGCCAUGUUCAUAGUGUACCCUGUCCUGUACAAAGCUGCGGGUAACCGGAGCUACCUAGACAGCGACUUGGUGAAGUGGGUGAUCAUAGGAUCAAGUGUGGUAUGUGGCGUCCUCGCAUGGGAAAUGAGGCUUUUCACAAACAUUCGAGAAGAUAUUAAGAGUGUCAUGCGGCCCACAGUCAACCCCGAAGCACCAGUUCCGGAUUUUGUUCCGGAUGCAUGGAGUGGUGGUGCCUCACAGCUGGACGCCCUCCAAGUGUUUUUCUUUGCAACAGUACUGCUGAACAAGUUUCUCUUUUGGUUUCAGGAGAAUUGGAUGUCAAAAAUGUACGUGAUGAAGCACCCAGAGAUGGUCAGUACCGUGGGAGGAUUUCGCCUGGAUGAGAUUCCUUUCAGAGCUGUACUCCCGUCCGGAUUCAUUAUCACCACGACGGUGGGGCUUCCUAGCAUCGUGAUUGUUACGAACGCGCUGUUAAUUAAAUCAAUCAAUGUAGUUACAGUAGACGGAAUUGGCAAUCAUUAUGUACAUGAAUCAUUUGUGCGUCAUUGGGCUUUUGAAAAUUACUAUCAGCGCGCCGCAUGGCAUUUUCUUGUCACUUUAUGUUUAGUUUAUCAUCCUUACUGUAGGGUACGUACAAGUAAGUAAGCAGACACGAAUAAUCAUUAAGAAAAUAAAGACCCAAAAUCGAUAAUAAUAGAGCGACCCAAAGAUGCGGUCGUAAAUCUUGGCGACGAUGAGUCGUUGAUAGUUAAGAAAAUAGAAUUGCGAUAAGCAGACAGAGACAGUAAAAAUUGCCGGGUACAGAUGCAAGUGCGUCAUGGCACAGUAAGACCCAGGCAGAAAAUUGUAGUAUAUAAGACCUUUGGUAAGAAAUAAAGUUAGUUCUUAGCUUCAUCUCAUGUGAGUCAGUCCUUGAAAUCCGAAAGCACACUACCUCUUGUUAAUGUUCGGUUCGCCCCAAACAUUUUGGUGUCAGUCCAGAGAGGAAAAAAAUGAACUCAGGAAGUGUUGAGGGUGAGGUGUUGCCGGCGCCUGAAGAUCGGCAAGUGGUUAUGAACUCCGGCAGUAACUCUGCCGUAAACAUAAAACAAGUGAAAAAAUGGUCGUAAGUCGCUGAGUCGCAGGCAAAAUGAGUGUGUUCCGGAAAAGUCGUAAGUCGCUGAGCCGCAGACAAAGUGAGUGUGUUCCGGAAAAGUUU